Molecule: ribosomal RNA, 458 nt
Filed under: uncultured bacterium
Lineage: Bacteria
Description: SSU rRNA
Rfam family: Bacterial small subunit ribosomal RNA
Source: RNAcentral
AGAAUCAACGCUGGCGGCGUGCCUAACACAUGCAAGUCGAACGAGAAAGUGGAGCAAUCCAUGAGUACAGUGGCGUACGGGUGAGUAACACGUGACUAACCUACCCUCGAGUGGGGAAUAACCUCGGGAAACCGGGCUAAUACCGCAUAACAUCUUCGGAUCAAAUGCGUAAGCAGCUUGAGGAGGGGUCGCGGCCGAUUAGCUAGUUGGCGGGGUAAUGGCCCACCAAGGCAAUGAUCGGUAGCCGGCCUGAGAGGGCGCACGGCCACACUGGAACUGAAACACGGUCCAGACUCCUACGGGAGGCAGCAGUGGGGAAUUUUGCGCAAUGGGGGAAACCCUGACGCAGCAACGCCGCGUGGAGGAUGAAGCCCCUUGGGGCGUAAACUCCUUUCGACCAAGACGAUAAUGACGGUACUGGUGGAAGAAGCACCGGCUAACUCUGUGCCAGCAGCCGC